This 166-nucleotide ribosomal RNA is filed under the name Acremonium charticola. Its description in RNAcentral is "5.8S ribosomal RNA". It matches the Rfam family "5.8S ribosomal RNA". Rfam says of the family: 5.8S ribosomal RNA (5.8S rRNA) is a component of the large subunit of the eukaryotic ribosome. The record is from RNAcentral. Lineage: Eukaryota; Fungi; Ascomycota; Sordariomycetes; Hypocreales; Bionectriaceae.
CAAAACUUUCAGCAACGGAUCUCUUGGUUCUGGCAUCGAUGAAGAACGCAGCAAAAUGCGAUAAGUAAUGUGAAUUGCAGAAUUCAGUGAAUCAUCGAAUCUUUGAACGCACAUUGCGCCCGCCAGUAUUCUGGCGGGCAUGCCUGUCUGAGCGUCAUUUCAACCC